UUGCCAAGAAUGUUCCCGUUAAUCAAGAACGAAAGUUAGAGGUUCGAAGGCGAUCAGAUACCGCCCUAGUUCUAACCAUAAACGAUGCCAGCCAGCGAUCCGCCGAAGUUCCUCCGAUGACUCGGCGGGCAGCUUCCGGGAAACCAAAGCUUUUGGGUUCCGGGGGAAGUAUGGUUGCAAAGCUGAAACUUAAAGGAAUUGACGGAAGGGCACCACCAGGAGUGGAGCCUGCGGCUUAAUUUGACUCAACACGGGAAACCUCACCAGGCCCGGACACCGGAAGGAUUGACAGAUUGAGAGCUCUUUCUUGAUUCGGUGGGUGGUGGUGCAUGGCCGUUCUUAGUUGGUGGAGCGAUUUGUCUGGUUAAUUCCGGUAACGAACGAGACUCUAGCCUGCUAAAUAGACGAUUUCCGGUAUCCACAAUAGUGCUACCGGCGAAAUCAAUAUCUUCUUAGAGGGACAGGCGGCUUUCAGCCGCACGAAACUGAGCAAUAACAGGUCUGUGAUGCCCUUAGAUGUCCUGGGCCGCACGCGCGCUACACUGAAGGAAUCAGCGUGUAUACCCUGGCCGAAAGGCUCGGGCAACCCGUUGAACCUCCUUCGUGCUAGGGAUUGGGGCUUGCAAUUGUUCCCCAUGAACGAGGAAUUCCCAGUAAGCGCGAGUCAUAAGCUCGCGUUGAUUACGUCCCUGCCCUUUGUACACACCGCCCGUCGCUACUACCGAUUGAAUGAUUUAGUGAGGUCUUCGGACUGGUGCGCGGCGGCCGCCUGCGCGGCCGCCGAUGCCACCGGGAAGAUGACCGAAC
This 807-nucleotide ribosomal RNA is filed under the name Cicadatra atra. RNAcentral's name for it is "SSU rRNA". It matches the Rfam family "Eukaryotic small subunit ribosomal RNA", at positions 955 to 1764 of the family's 1831-position model. The record is from RNAcentral. Lineage: Eukaryota; Metazoa; Arthropoda; Insecta; Hemiptera; Cicadidae.